ACAGAAAUCCAGAGACUGCCCCAUUUCUUCACUUCAGCUCCAGGAUUUGACUUCUUAAUGGUUAAAACUGAAAACGCAUUCCCCUGACCGUGCAUCCCCUCAAACUGUGAUCGGUUCACAAUAGGCUCCUAAGGCACAAUCGGCAAUUAAACCGUGCACUUAACCUUUGCACAGAGCACUCCAUUUUCUUUUGUUGGGGAAAUGAAGCUUUUGAGACGUCUGAUCAAUUCUGCAAAUUAGCUUUUCAAAACCUGAGCACACAGUUUCUGCUGUGGAUCUGCUACAUCGCGUCCAGGAGCUGGUCUUGGGGACAGGAACACAUUUCUGCACUUUGGUUUUCCUCCAUGGCGUGUCAAGCUUUGGUUGUAGUAUCCAAGAAUUAUCUGAGAGGAGUCUGGGGCAUUUCAUCAAAUUCCUGAGAUGCUGAUGAGAAGACAUUGGCGUGCAAAUGGCUAACCGUGCAGGACGCCAUAUUGUUCGGCUGGACAGGUUAGACCAUGAGGUGA
This is a long non-coding RNA of Mesocricetus auratus (golden hamster), 506 nucleotides long. RefSeq lists it as uncharacterized. The transcript has 3 exons. Lineage: Eukaryota; Metazoa; Chordata; Mammalia; Rodentia; Cricetidae. The record is from RefSeq and is a predicted model, not a curated record.